Melitaea cinxia (Glanville fritillary) is the source of this 296-nucleotide long non-coding RNA. RefSeq lists it as uncharacterized. The record is from RefSeq and is a predicted model, not a curated record. The transcript has 2 exons. Lineage: Eukaryota; Metazoa; Arthropoda; Insecta; Lepidoptera; Nymphalidae.
CCUUGUCAUGAUCAGUCUCCUCAGUGCUCCAAACUUCUUGCUACAAUAUAGAGAAAAGUCUCGAUCAAUCACCAACAACUCAACUGACAAAAGAUACCAUUUCUACUAAACUUAGUACCUAUUCUAUGUCAAACAAGAACGGAAAGGACGGGGAAAGCAUUGGGAGGACAGACGGAAGCGAAACUGCAAAGUUUAAUUCAAAUAAGAAUUUCUUUUCGCUAUCACUUGACUGUUUAAUUAAAAUCUUUAAGUAUUAUUUCAAGGCAGUUACUACAAAUAAAUACCUUCAAAAACUA